AGUGAACGCUGGCGGCAGGCCUAACACAUGCAAGUCGAGCGGCAGCGGGUCCUUCGGGAUGCCGGCGAGCGGCGGACGGGUGAGGAAUGCAUCGGAAUCUGCCCUGUCGUGGGGGACAACCUAGGGAAACUUAGGCUAAUACCGCAUACGACCCACGGGUGAAAGCGGGGGAUCGCAAGACCUCGCGCGAUAGGAUGAGCCGAUGUCCGAUUAGCUAGUUGGCGGGGUAAAGGCCCACCAAGGCGACGAUCGGUAGCUGGUCUGAGAGGAUGAUCAGCCACACUGGGACUGAGACACGGCCCAGACUCCUACGGGAGGCAGCAGUGGGGAAUAUUGGACAAUGGGCGCAAGCCUGAUCCAGCCAUGCCGCGUGGGUGAAGAAGGCCUUCGGGUUGUAAAGCCCUUUUGUCCGGGAAGAAAUCGUCUGGGCUAAUACCCCGGGCGGAUGACGGUACCGGAAGAAUAAGCACCGGCUAACUUCGUG
RNAcentral lists this ribosomal RNA (484 nucleotides) under uncultured bacterium. Its description in RNAcentral is "partial 16S ribosomal RNA". It matches the Rfam family "Bacterial small subunit ribosomal RNA", at positions 30 to 507 of the family's 1533-position model. The record is from RNAcentral.